Molecule: RNA transcript, 4060 nt
Organism: Galeopterus variegatus (Sunda flying lemur)
Lineage: Eukaryota; Metazoa; Chordata; Mammalia; Dermoptera; Cynocephalidae
Gene name: BTB/POZ domain-containing protein 3 pseudogene
Exons: 2
Source: RefSeq, a predicted model, not a curated record
AUGUCGUUGAAUCUUCUUGUUGAAUGCACUCAUUUUGUAAACCAGCUGUUUACAUGUUUUGCCUUUUCUUUCAGAUACAUCUAUUGUGAUGAAAUUGACUUGGCUGCUGACACAGUGCUGGCCACUCUUUAUGCUGCCAAAAAGUACAUUGUCCCUCACCUUGCCAGAGCCUGCGUUAAUUUCCUGGAGACCAGCCUAAGCGCCAAGAACGCCUGCGUGCUCCUCUCCCAGAGCUGCCUGUUCGAGGAGCCAGACCUGACCCAGCGUUGCUGGGAGGUGAUUGAUGCCCAGGCUGAGUUAGCGCUCAAGUCUGAGGGAUUCUGUGAUAUCGACUUCCAGACUCUAGAAAGUAUCCUCCGCAGGGAAACUCUGAAUGCCAAAGAAAUUGUGGUUUUUGAGGCAGCUCUUAACUGGGCUGAAGUAGAAUGCCAGCGACAAGAUCUAGCUCUGAGCAUUGAAAAUAAACGCAAGGUCCUAGGAAAGGCACUUUACUUGAUUCGCAUACCUACAAUGGCCCUCGAUGACUUUGCAAAUGGCGCUGCACAGUCCGGAGUAUUAACUCUUAAUGAAACCAACGACAUCUUCCUCUGGUAUACUGCAGCCAAAAAGCCCGAGUUGCAGUUUGUGAGUAAAGCCCGCAAGGGCCUUGUCCCCCAGCGCUGUCACCGUUUCCAGUCAUGUGCCUAUCGGAGCAACCAGUGGCGCUAUAGAGGUCGCUGUGACAGCAUCCAGUUUGCAGUUGAUAAAAGAGUGUUCAUUGCUGGCUUUGGGCUGUAUGGUUCCAGCUGUGGCUCUGCAGAAUAUAGUGCCAAGAUUGAACUCAAGCGGCAGGGUGUUGUCCUGGGGCAGAACUUGAGCAAGUACUUCUCAGAUGGCUCCAGCAAUACCUUCCCUGUGUGGUUUGAGUACCCAGUGCAGAUUGAGCCAGACACCUUCUACACAGCCAGUGUGAUACUGGAUGGCAAUGAACUUAGCUACUUCGGACAAGAAGGCAUGACGGAAGUUCAGUGUGGCAAAGUGACCGUCCAGUUUCAGUGCUCCUCAGAUAGCACCAACGGCACUGGGGUGCAGGGAGGGCAGAUUCCCGAACUUAUAUUCUAUGCCUGAAAACUCACUUCCUGGAGCAGUGUGGGCUCCGAGGUGCACAUCUGGUCCCCAUGUGCUUGAUGCUUUAGCUCAUCUGCAGAUAUACGAUCAGCGCAGGUAAUUUGUAAUGAAUGAAGCAGUAGGCAGUUUCUAAUUACUUUUAACCUUUUAAUUAUGUACAGGCAAAAAUGCAGCGUUCUGCUUUUAACUGUGUGCUUAAAAGAGCCAAGUUCUUAUUAAGGCUUUGUGGUUUUUAAAAUUGCGUCUGUGCACGUGGGGAGACUUUGUGCUCUUCCAAGUGCCAUACCAACCUCCCAGUUUUGUUCCUCUGAAGAAAUUUUUGAUCACCUCAAAUUUCCUUUUGGACUUUAUUGAUGAAUAGAGAGAAAUAGUCUAAAAUAAGAAGAAUUAUUUUUAAAUAGAACCCUCUCCAACAAAAACACAGAUAAACCUCAGUGUACAAUUUUGAAAGAGACAGUAGUCAUGUUUAGCUCUUUAUUUCUUUUAAAUUUGUUGCUUCUGGGCUUUUUUUUUUUUAAAAAAAAUCCUAAAAUCAUAAGAUUGUUACAUAUUAAACACUUCAAAGUCAAUUGUAAAAAAGGAAAAUAAGGAAUUGGGUGUAUGUUUAUGCCAUGACUUCUACUAGAAGGAGAUUAAUAUCCUUUAGUGUAGAAGACAAAAUAUCUGAUACAGACACUUCUUUUAGAAAAAACUAAGUUAUAAAAUUUUAUUGUCAAUAGAAAAAUUGCAGGCCUAUUAAUUUAAACUAAAACAGUUUGAGAAGGAAUCCUAAAAAUUUCCAUCCUAAAAAUAGUUUAAUUAAUGGCACAUUAGAAUACACAUUUUGAAAAAAAAGCAAACACUUUUCUUGCCACUUAGCUUUUGAUCCCUACUAUUUGCUUGCUUUUAUGUCAUACUAUAUAGAAUUCCUAUUCCCUUUUUCCCCAUUCAAAGAGGACCAAACAUUCUUUAGAUGAAUGGCGUAAGGUAACAGUUUUGUAGCACUAUGUGUGAAUGUGAUAAGAUACUUUUAGUCAUUUUAUUUUUUUUAAUCUGAAAUAUACUUUACCUAAUCUAUUCUGACCAUAUACUGUCUUCUUUGUUAAUUAUAAUUCUGUCCUGUUCCUAGACUGCUAGAAUCUGUCCUCUGGCCAUCUUAAAGUGCCAAUGUAUACCUGCACAAUUUUUAAAAAUGGUGUGGAGCGACAAAUAUGAUUAUACCUAAUAUUCACUGCACCAGUAUCACAUCCAGCUCUCGUUUGUCCACAGAUAAUGUAAACAAAGGAGGGAAAAGCUCAGUAAAUGUUCUCCUCAGUGAUGACUUGUGCCUGUAACACUGGCAGUGUCCAGUGUGUUCACGUCCAGUGAAAGUAUCCAUGUGUUUCUGGGCAGCUUUUCUGCUCAGUGUGAUCCUGAGAUGGCCUCCCCCGCCACCCAGAGUGUGGUCCCUGGCCGCCUCCUUCUCCUGCUCUGCAAGCCUGAAACUGGCCUGUCUGGAGCUAGGGGUUAGUCCUGGGGUGUGUGUGUGUGCGUGCUCUUGUGCAUGCAAGUGUGUUUGCCGACUCAGGAAUUGUCUCCUCUCUGCCUGGCAGUGAGAUGUGGGACAGUAAGGUCCCCCUGCUGGCCCAGCAGGGCCCAGUGAGUGAGUGCUCUUAUUUGUUCACAGUGCUUCUGGGCCACUUCCUUCCCUGCAGAUGUGGGCUCGUUGCCUUCAGCCAGCUUCUCUGAAGGAGGAGAACACUGGACUACGGGAGAUAUUUUAAACACAUUUGCCAUUACCUAUGUCUGUUAGCAUAGAUGAUCAAAAGCUGUUACUGCUGAUUGUAGAUGAGUACUCCCAGGACAACUUUCCAAAAUUACCUAACAAUUAUUUCUUAUUAGGGAGAUUACAGUUAGUAGUUUUGGCAAAGCAUUGAUGAAAUAAAGGUAUGUUUUCAAUUUAAAAAAACAUACUUCUGAAAAGGAUUUUAUUGUUAAAUUAUGGUUAAACAUUUCAGUAACUCAUAGCUACCAUGCAAAUUGGUAGACCUGAUUAGAAGGCACUCAGUCUUAAGCCAGAAGAGUAGGAACUUUAUUUAGCACUCAUUUCAUCCCAUCAGAUUGUGGGUGUCAUCAGUGUAGAGUACAGAUCCUUCCUUCGCUACGCUCGCCAUCAGCGCUCUGUUAGCUAGCUGCCCUCCACGUCGCUGGGGAACUGCUGGUGCACAUGCGUGAGCUCCUGUACACUGGGUACAGGAGAACCAGAUUUAUGUUAAUGUAGUUACUAAAAUAUAUAUAUAUAUAUAUGUGUGUGUGUGUGUGUAUAUAUAUACACACACACACAUCCACCAUCUGAUUGGUUGGUGCCAAGAGCUGCAGGUAAAAUUUGAAAAUUGUAUUUAGAAUAAGAAAUUUUAUAUUCUAAACCCUAUUCUUCUUUCUGCAUUUUCAACAAAAUGGAAUGAAAUCUAAUGUGCUUGCUUUAUUUUCUUUGGUAAUUUUGAAUUUUGUAGCUUUUAAAACUAAAAACCAUUGUUCUAACAAGGCAGGCAAUUCUAGUGUAUAAACACAACGUUAUUAAACAGAAUAUGCUGUAGAUGCUUUUCCCGAUGUAUCUGGCAGUGUUUGUCGUUGUUCAUACUGGGGAUAAAGGGGAUUUAGGCUAGCAGUUCUAAUGUAACAUUCUUUAAGCAUAUCUUAAAAUAGUAUUUAAGUAAAUGAUCUAAUUUCUACAUAAUUAUUGCACUGAACUGUCUUUUUUGUUUUUUAAGGUGUUUAAAUAAGCUGAACUAAUUCAAGAUGCUGUAGCCACUUGUGCAUCAGUGUGCUUGAACUUAGUAGCUUAUAGCAUUAUUUAUGAAGGAAAAAUAUAUACAUAUGAAGUACCUCAUGUUGAAUGUUAUUGUACUGUAUUUUUAAUGUAAAGUGCAGAUCUUGUUAGACACAUGAAUGUGUAUAAUCAUGUUAAAUGCAAAUAAAAUAAAACUGGUUCGUA